RNAcentral lists this ribosomal RNA (513 nucleotides) under uncultured bacterium. RNAcentral's name for it is "partial 16S ribosomal RNA". It matches the Rfam family "Bacterial small subunit ribosomal RNA", at positions 28 to 523 of the family's 1533-position model. The record is from RNAcentral.
GACGAACGCUGGCGGCGUGCCUAAUACAUGCAAGUUGAGCGCUGAAGGUUGGUACUUGUACCGACUGGAUGAGCAACGAACGGGUGAGUAACGCGUGGGGAAUCUGCCUUUGAGCGGGGGACAACAUUUGGAAACGAAUGCUAAUACCGCAUAAAAACUUUAAUCACAAGUUUUAAGUUUGAAAGAUGCAAUUGCAUCACUCAAAGAUGAUCCCGCGUUGUAUUAGCUAGUUGGUGAGGUAAAGGCUCACCAAGGCGAUGAUACAUAGCCGACCUGAGAGGGUGAUCGGCCACAUUGGGACUGAGACACGGCCCAAACUCCUACGGGAGGCAGCAGUAGGGAAUCUUCGGCAAUGGACGAAAGUCUGACCGAGCAACGCCGCGUGAGUGAAGAAGGUUUUCGGAUCGUAAAACUCUGUUGGUAGAGAAGAACGUUUGUGAGAGUGGAAAGCUCAUCAAGUGACGGUAACUACCCAGAAAGGGACGGCUAACUACGUGCCAGCCGCCGCUGUAA